CGAUUAAGCCAUGCAAGUCGAGAGGGUUCGGCCCUCGGCGUACUACUCAGUAACACGUGGAUAACCUGCCCUAAGGAAGGGGAUAACCUCGGGAAACUGAGGAUAAUACCCUAUAGGUUACAGACGCUGGAAUGCCCUGUAACCGAAAGCUCCGGCGCCUUAGGAUGGAUCUGCGGCCGAUUAGGUUGUUGUUGGGGUAACGGCCCAACAAGCCGAUAAUCGGUACGGGUUGUGGGAGCAAGAGCCCGGAGUUGGAUUCUGAGACACGAAUCCAGGCCCUACGGGGCGCAGCAGGCGCGAAAACUUUACAAUGCGGGAAACCGUGAUAAGGGAACCUCGAGUGCCUGUAUAUGCAGGCUGUCCAGGUGUCUAAAAAACACCUGAAGAAAGGGCCGGGCAAGACCGGUGCCAGCCGCCGCGGUAAUACCGGCGGCUCGAGUGGUGGCCACUUUUAUUGGGCUUAAAGCGUUCGUAGCUGGGUUGUUAAGUCUCUUGGGAAAUCUGACGGCUCAACCGUCAGGCGUCCAAGGGAUACUGGCAAUCUUGGAACCGGGAGAGGUGAGGGGUACUUCGUGGGUAGGAGUGAAAUCCUGUAAUCCUCGAGGGACCACCUGUGGCGAAGGCGCCUCACCAGAACGGCUUCGACAGUGAGGGACGAAAGCUGGGGGAGCAAACCGGAUUAGAUACCCGGGUAGUCCCAGCCCUAAACGAUGCGCGUUAGGUGUAUCGGUGACCACGAGUCACCGAGGUGCCGAAGGGAAACCGUGAAACGUGCCGCCUGGGAAGUACGGUCGCAAGGCUGAAACUUAAAGGAAUUGGCGGGGGAGCA
Molecule: ribosomal RNA, 829 nt
Filed under: uncultured archaeon
Lineage: Archaea
Description: bacterial SSU rRNA
Rfam family: Archaeal small subunit ribosomal RNA
Source: RNAcentral